GACGAACGCUGGCGGCGUGCUUAACACAUGCAAGUCGAACGGAAAGGCCCUGCUUUUGUGGGGUGCUCGAGUGGCGAACGGGUGAGUAACACGUGAGUAACCUGCCCUUGACUUUGGGAUAACUUCAGGAAACUGGGGCUAAUACCGGAGAGGAGCUCCUGCUGCAUGGUGGGGGUUGGAAAGUUUCGGCGGUUGGGGAUGGACUCGCGGCUUAUCAGCUUGUUGGUGGGGUAGUGGCUUACCAAGGCUUUGACGGGUAGCCGGCCUGAGAGGUUGACCGGCCACCUUGCGACUGAGAUACGGCCCAGACUCCUACGGGAGGCAGCGGUGGGGAAUAUUGCACAAUGGGCCGAAGCCUGAUGCAGCAACGCCGCGUGCGGGAUGACGGCCUUCGGGUUGUAAACCGCUUUCGCCUGUGACGAAGCGUGAGUGACGGUAACGGGUAAAGAAGCACCGGCUAACUACGUG
This 468-nucleotide ribosomal RNA is filed under the name uncultured bacterium. RNAcentral describes it as "partial 16S ribosomal RNA". It matches the Rfam family "Bacterial small subunit ribosomal RNA", at positions 28 to 507 of the family's 1533-position model. The record is from RNAcentral.